GCUGGGAUAGCGGGGGUGGUGUCAAGGAAUGAUUCCAGGACAUACUGCUCUCUCUCAAAUGGUCUAUUGAUUCUUUUAUGUUCACACAGGGUUUGGUACAUUGCUUUGGCUUCCCUCAGGUGUUGCUGCUAUUUCUCUGCUUUCCCUGAGCGAGAGAGACAAAAGAAAGAAAUCCACUUCCCUCUAAUGGCAACUUUCGAAAUCAACAGGACAUGGAGCAUUCUACUCUCAUCCUAAACCUUUUACCAAGUAAUUACGGGGCAUUUCUUGGAACAUUUUCAAUACAAAAUAUACCUGGAGAACAAACAUUGUUCUGAGUGGACAGUGGUAACGAGAAAACGAUACAAAUGAGUUAGUGUUACAGAAGGCGGAAGAUCUGGGCACAAUCUCUUUCUAAUGCUGUGAUGGUCAUUCAGGACAGCAUUGUGUGGGGAAGGACAACAGGAAGUGCACGUGGUUAACUAUUAGUCACACCAGGAAAAGGAAUAUUUUACGCCAGCACUUUGUUGCAGUAAUAUCACCAUGAGGAAGACGGGUUUGAUUCCGACGCCAGAGCUCCCUCUCUGGAGGCCAAAACAAGAGAUCAUGUACAAGGGUUUCUGCCAUCAAACAGCAAAGCUCCUGCUCCUGCCCACCUUGGCUUGGCAAUCCUCUGCAUUUGGGCUGAAAGAAUGAGCCAGAUCCUCAGCACAGAGAAGGCUUAAAGGUGUCAUAAAUGCAGGAGCUAAGUAUUCCCCUGGUGGAGACAGCAUUCUGGGGUAGAGAGGAGGCGGGGCUGGCUGGUGGACUGAUGUCUUGG
Molecule: long non-coding RNA, 799 nt
Organism: Chrysemys picta bellii (western painted turtle)
Lineage: Eukaryota; Metazoa; Chordata; Testudines; Emydidae
Source: Ensembl